RNAcentral lists this ribosomal RNA (1234 nucleotides) under metagenome. RNAcentral's name for it is "bacterial LSU rRNA". It matches the Rfam family "Bacterial large subunit ribosomal RNA", at positions 1564 to 2808 of the family's 2925-position model. The record is from RNAcentral.
UGAAUACGAGAUGCUACGGCGUCGAAGCAGUCUAUGUCAUACUUCCAAGAAAAGCUUGCACUGUCAUAAACAAAUAAUGCCUGUACCAUAACCGACACAGGUGGGUAGGUAGAGUAUACUAAGGGGCGCGAGAUAACUCUCUCUAAGGAACUCGGCAAAAUGACUCCGUAACUUCGGGAGAAGGAGUGCCUUAUUUAUAAGGUUGCAAUAACAAGAUCCAAGCAACUGUUUACCAAAAACACAGGUCUCCGCUAAGUCGUAAGACGAUGUAUGGGGGCUGACGCCUGCCCAGUGCCAGAAGGUUAAAGAAGUUGGUUAGCAUCCGCGAAGCUGAUAACUGAAGCCCUGGUGAACGGCGGCCGUAACAAUAACGGUCCUAAGGUAGCGAAAUUCCUUGUCGGGUAAGUUCCGACCCGCACGAAAGGCGUAAUGAUUUGGAUACUGUCUCGGAGAGGGGCUCGGUGAAAUAGACUUGUCUGUGAAGAUGCGGACUACCUGCACCAGGACAGAAAGACCCUAUGAAGCUUUACUGUAACCUGAAAUUGAAAUUGGACUUUACUUGCGCAGUAUAGGUGGGAGGCGCUGAGAAUAUUCUUGCGGGAUUAUUGGAGCCAUCAGUGAGAUACCACUCUUGUAAUGUUAGAUUUCUAACUUUGUAUCAUUAUCUGGUCAAAGAACAGUUUCAGGCGGGCAGUUUGACUGGGGCGGUCGCCUCCUAAACGGUAACGGAGGCGCACAAAGGUUUCCUCUGAACGGGUAGAAAUCGUAUCUAGAGUGUAAAGGCAUAAGGAAGCUUGACUGUGAGACCUACAAGUCGAGCAGGGACGAAAGUCGGUCUUAGUGAUCUGACGGUGCUGAGUGGAAAGGCCGUCACUCAACGGAUAAAAGUUACUCUAGGAUAACAGGCUGAUCUCCCCCAAGAGUUCACAUCGACGGGGAGGUUUGGCACCUCGAUGUCGGCUCAUCGCAUCCUGGGGCGGUAGUACGUCCCAAGGGUUGGGCUGUUCGCCCAUGAAAGCGGUACGCGAGCUGGGUUCAGAACGUCGUGAGACAGUUCGGUCCAUAUCCGGUGUAGGCGUUAGAAUAUUGAGAGGAGCCUUCUUUAGUACGAGAGGACCGAGAAGGACAUACCUCUGGUGUACCAGUUAUCGUGCCAACGGUAAACGCUGGGUAGCUAUGUGUGGAGUGGAUAACCGCUGAAAGCAUCUAAGUGGGAAGCCCACCUCAAGAUAAG